GGGUUCUCUCCACGCUUCGUGGCGCAGCGGAUGGCAGCUAAACCGACGUUUCCUCUUCCUAGCCACCUCCUGCGCGCCCCUGCCCUCCCACGGGCACGGUCUGCGUCCGCAGGCCACCCCAGAGGCAUUGCACGCUGCACAAAUUUUCCCUUUUUUUGGCUCAAAGCUGGGUUCGGCUGAGCCAGACCCUGUGCCUGCGGCCGUGGCUCUUCCAGAGGGCCCUUGGCCUGCAUGUCGCCAUCCCACCGCCACGUCUCUCUGCUCUGUGCAGAGUUCGGCCUCGUUCCCUGGAGAGGGGCAGCACUUUUUAUGGCACGUUUGCUGUCUGCAGGAGCCUUUCAUUUUGACGAUUCUGUACCGUGCGAAGACGAACUAAAUAAAGCGAAGGUGUGCUGCUGCAUUCAGGCGCUGUCAGCGCUGGGUGGACUAGGCUCACGACUGCAUGCGCUACACAACUGCAAAACCAAGACAAGUGCAUUUCACACCCAUGCUCGUCACAUUUUGUCAGCUUUAGUUAUUUCAACCUGUCUUAAAAUAAGCCUCUUUGUUUCCUGCUGCUGCAGUCAGAUGGGUGCUGGAGCUCAGAGACAUGCUGUGAGCGAUAGGGUGUCGGGGCUGGAAGGAAGCAUCAUCCCCAUCCACUACCUGGAUCAGACCUCCCUGUCAUCCGUGUUUGUAACCAAAAUUCCGAGCAACAGCUUGAGCCCAGCUCCUGUCCUGAGCUGCAGGGGACGAGGUUUGUUACCAGCAUCAGCAGCCUUCUCGAUGCCUUGCCUGAAUCGCCAUGGGUUUGAUUCUAGCUGCCCUUCUGGGCGGCAAGGCAUGCUCAGCAGCAGUGGCAUGGGGAAGGAAGGUGUGAUUGGUGCGAUGGGGCCACGGCUGCACUUUAAAGCCUCCGACUGCAAUCACCGCGAGCAGAUGAGGAAGCGUCGCAGCAAACUGUGCACCGAGCACCGACCAUGCAGCCCCUCCAGCGUGCCCACCUGUUCCUCCUGCUUGCCCUCUUCGCCCUCUGCUUGCCCUUCAUCCAGGCGCACGAAAAGGUGA
RNAcentral lists this long non-coding RNA (1047 nucleotides) under Anser brachyrhynchus (Pink-footed goose). RNAcentral describes it as "lncRNA (ENSABRG00000000990.1)". The record is from RNAcentral. Lineage: Eukaryota; Metazoa; Chordata; Aves; Anseriformes; Anatidae.